UUCAUCUAAUGUAAUAAAUAGACUUCUAUUUCCCGUCAUGUGAUUGCUGCAUCCGCUAUCUAAGUACCAGCAAUCGUCUUUGGUUAUUUCUUCAAUGUUAAAUAUCAUAAACAUUGUCGUUUCAUCACAUUUUUCCUCAGACUCAUCUUCGUGUAAUAGUGCAUUCUCACCCCUGUUGUUUGUAUCUCUUUGUUGACAGAAUCUUGCCAUGUGACCUAAUCUCUGACAGUUAUAACAUCGUAUCUGUCCAUUGAAUCUUCCUCUUCCUCUACCUCGUCCUCUAUUACCGAAUUCAGAUCUGUUUUGUCGUGUUUGGUCAUUAUUAUUAUUACUUUGCACUUGGAAUGCCUGUUCUAUUGGAGAAUCAUCAUAUUGUUUCAAUCUUAACUCGUGUGAUUGAAGGAUACCUAGCAAUUCUUCUGUAGAAAUUGUAGUUAAGUCUUUUGAUUCUUCUAUUGCCACCACUACCAAUUCAUAUUUCCUCGUGAGACUUUGAAGAAUUUUUUCAACACGUUGUUCGGUAAUAUUUUCUUCAUUUAAACGUAAUUGAUUCACUAUAACUGUUGUUCUAUUCAUAUAUUCUUCUAUUGUCUCGUUUUCUUUCAUUCUAAGUGCAUCAAAUUCACAUCUCAGGGUUUGGAGUUUUACCGUUUUUACUCUGUGUUCUCCUCUAUAUGCCUUGUGUAAUACAUCCCAUGCCUCUUUUGAAGUUCUGCACAUUGCAAUUCGUUCUAACACAGUUUCGUUUACCGCUUGAAAGAUUAUGUGCAGUGCUUUCUUGUCUUUCUUGACCUUUUCCUUGUGUGCAUCCCGAUCAUUGCCUGAUGCAUUAUUUGGCAGAUCAUUUGGAAUCUGGGUCUGUAAGCCUCCGUUCGUCGUUGCCAUGACUGAAAUCGAUUAAAUUCUGUGUUUCGGUAUGAGUUGAAUGAUUUGAAGAUUCGGUGAUAUUUGGAUCGUUGUGGCUCUGAUACCACUUUAUUGUAUAUGAUUGUACGCUAGGGUUUGAGAGAAAGUAAUUUGUGUUCUUUGAUUCAGAAUUGGUAAAUGAAAAUAUUCGCUUAUGUUUUACAAAUAUACUAGGCCGGUUAUAAGAAACCGACAUCACCUAUAUCUAAAAAAUAAAUAAACGUAUCUAACAUAUAAUAUAAGAUAUCUAGCUUAUGUUGUUCCUUCUAAUACACUUUGUACCUUUCACAUGAACAUAAAGGUGGUUUUUGCCAAUUUCAUAGUGAAAGGUAUAAAGUGCAGUUUGAGAAUUGGUAAAUGA
This 1267-nucleotide long non-coding RNA is filed under the name Helianthus annuus (common sunflower). RNAcentral's name for it is "hypothetical non coding rna". Lineage: Eukaryota; Viridiplantae; Streptophyta; Magnoliopsida; Asterales; Asteraceae. The record is from RNAcentral.